AGAGUUUGAUCCUGGCUCAGGAUGAACGCUGGCGGCGUGCCUAAUACAUGCAAGUCGAACGAAGUUACUUAUAACUUGUUAUUUGUAACUUAGUGGCGAACGGGUGAGUAACACGUAGGUAACCUGCCCUUAAGACGAGGAUAACCAUUGGAAACGAUGGCUAAUACUGGAUAGGUAUCAUUAAGAUAACUUUUUGAUAUUAAAGGACCACCGGUAUACUUAAGGAUGGGCCUGCGGCGCAUUAGUUUGUUGGUAAGGUAAUGGCUUACCAAGACUAUGAUGCGUAGCCGGACUGAGAGGUUGAACGGCCACAUUGGGACUGAGACACGGCCCAAACUCCUACGGGAGGCAGCAGUAGGGAAUUUUCGGCAAUGGAGGAAACUCUGACCGAGCAACGCCGCGUGAAUGAAGACGUAUUUCGGUAUGUAAAAUUCUUUUAUUAGGGAAGAAUGGUCUGUGGAAAAACAGAAUUGACGGUACCUAAUGAAUAAGCCCCGGCUAACUAUGUGCCAGCAGCCGCGGUAAUACAUAGGGGGCAAGCGUUAUCCGGAAUUAUUGGGCGUAAAGGGUGCGUAGGCGGCCAUUUAAGUCCUUGGUGUAAGUGCAGCGCUCAACGCUGUGAUGCUAAGGAAACUGGAUGGCUUGAGUGAGAUAGAGGCAAGUGGAAUUCCAUGUGUAGCGGUAAAAUGCGUAAAUAUAUGGAGGAACACCAGUGGCGAAGGCGGCUUGCUGGGUCUUCACUGACGCUGAGGCACGAAAGCGUGGGGAGCGAACAGGAUUAGAUACCCUGGUAGUCCACGCCGUAAACGAUGAGUACUAAGUGUUGGAGAAAUUCAGCGCUGUAGUUAACGCAAUAAGUACUCCGCCUGAGUAGUACGUACGCAAGUAUGAAACUCAAAGGAAUUGACGGGACCCCGCACAAGCGGUGGAUCAUGUUGUUUAAUUCGAAGAUACGCGAAAAACCUUACCAGGUCUUGACAUCCCUUGCAAUGCUGUAGAGAUACAGUGGAGGUUAUCAAGGAGACAGGUGGUGCAUGGUUGUCGUCAGCUCGUGUCGUGAGAUGUUGGGUUAAGUCCCGCAACGAGCGCAACCCUUAUUGCUAGUUGCCAUCAUUUAGUUGGGGACUCUAGCGAGACUGCCAGUGAUAAACUGGAGGAAGGUGGGGAUGACGUCAAAUCAUCAUGCCCCUUAUGACCUGGGCUACAAACGUGAUACAAUGGCUAUUACAGAGGGCCGCAAAGCUGUGAAGUGAAGCUAAACCCUUAAAAAUAGUCUCAGUUCGGAUUGAAGUCUGCAACUCGACUUCAUGAAGCCGGAAUCGCUAGUAAUCGCAAAUCAGAAUGUUGCGGUGAAUACGUUCUCGGGGUUUGUACACACCGCCCGUCAAACCACGGAAGUUAGCAAUACCCAAAGCCGGUGGCCUAACCGUAAGGAGGGAGCCGUUUAAGGUAGGGUUGAUGACUGGGGUUAAGUCGUAACAAGGUAUCCCUACGGGAACGUGGGGAUG
Molecule: ribosomal RNA, 1508 nt
Filed under: marine metagenome
Description: bacterial SSU rRNA
Rfam family: Bacterial small subunit ribosomal RNA
Source: RNAcentral